This is a non-coding RNA of Pelobates cultripes (western spadefoot toad), 344 nucleotides long. NCBI's taxonomy places the organism in Eukaryota, Metazoa, Chordata, Amphibia, Anura, Pelobatidae. The record is from the annotation of a GenBank genome assembly.
CUUUUUAGGACAGACAAAUCUUAAAAAGAUCAAUGCCGGUGUCCAGGGUCCGAAUUUUGGCAAAAAUCAGAUAGCUACUCUGCUCCAGAGUCACCCUUCAGGUGUACAUAUAUUUUUUUAUUUUUUUUUCCCCACACUCCGUUUUGUGAAUAGGGACCUACUGAUAGGCUGAGAACAUCAGCUGAAUUUCAGAGGCAGAGCUGGUUGGCGCUGGACAGAGCCCUUUGUGGUUUAACUUUUCAUUGAUGGUUUAAUCCUAGAAGUUGAGCCAGGGAUCUCCUGGCACCAUAACUUCAGAGUGCUGCUUUAGCGAGUUCAAAAAUAAAGGUGAUCGAACCUGAUUA